Molecule: ribosomal RNA, 172 nt
Filed under: uncultured rumen bacterium
Lineage: Bacteria
Description: partial 16S ribosomal RNA
Rfam family: Bacterial small subunit ribosomal RNA
Source: RNAcentral
CCUACGGGAGGCAGCAGUGGGGAAUAUUGCACAAUGGGCGAAAGCCUGAUGCAGCAACGCCGCGUGAAGGAUGAAGGCUUUCGAGUCGUAAACUUCUGUCCUUGGGGAAGAAAAAAAUGACGGUACCCAUGGAGGAAGCCCCGGCUAACUACGUGCCAGCAGCCGCGGUAAU